UUGUGCAGUAUAGGUGGGAGGCAAAGAUUAUAUAUUUGCGGAUGUAUAUGAGCCGCUAGUGAGAUACCACUCUAAUUAAACUAGGAUUCUAAUAUUGAUUGCCAUAAGCUGGCCGAUAGACAGUUUCAGGUAGGCAGUUUGACUGGGGCGGUCGCCUCCUAAAAGGUAACGGAGGCGUGCAAAGGUUUCCUCAGGCUGGUCGGAAAUCAGUCGUAGAGUAUAAAGGUAUAAGGAAGCUUGACUGCGAGACCUACAAGUCGAGCAGAGACGAAAGUCGGCCUUAGUGAUCCGACAGUGCUG
RNAcentral lists this ribosomal RNA (300 nucleotides) under Gracilaria cornea. RNAcentral's name for it is "partial large subunit ribosomal RNA". It matches the Rfam family "Bacterial large subunit ribosomal RNA", at positions 2134 to 2431 of the family's 2925-position model. The record is from RNAcentral. Lineage: Eukaryota; Rhodophyta; Florideophyceae; Gracilariales; Gracilariaceae.